Molecule: unclassified non-coding RNA, 373 nt
Filed under: uncultured fungus
Lineage: Eukaryota; Fungi
Description: partial contains small subunit ribosomal RNA, internal transcribed spacer 1, and 5.8S ribosomal RNA
Rfam family: Eukaryotic small subunit ribosomal RNA (bases 1-73)
Source: RNAcentral
GCAAACUUGGUCAUUUAGAGGAAGUAAAAGUCGUAACAAGGUUUCCGUAGGUGAACCUGCGGAAGGAUCAUUAGUGAAUAAACUUGUGUGGGUUGUUGCUGACCUCUUCGGGGGUAUGUGCACGCCUGCCAUCGUUUCAUUCUCCCUUCCACCUGUGCACUUAUUGUAGAUCAAGCCACUGCACUUCAGGUGUAAAUCGCCUGGUAUGAGGACUUGCACGGUUUGCUGCUGUCCUUGCGUGGUCUGGUCUAUGUCUUUAUCAAAUCCAUUGUAUGUCGUCGAAUGUAUGUUCUGGGUUCUUUGUAGGCCCAUAAAACCUUAUACAACUUUCAACAACGGAUCUCUUGGCUCUCGCAUCGAUGAAGAACGCAGC